AUUGAACGCUGGCGGAAUGCUUUACACAUGCAAGUCGAGCGGCAGCAGGGCGUUCGCGCUGGCAUCGAGCGGCGGACGGGUGAGUAAUGCAUAGGAACAUGCCCGGUCGUGGGGGAUAACGCUUGGAAAGGAGUGCUAAUACCGCAUACGUCCUGAGGGAGAAAGCGGGGGAUCGCAGGACCUCACGCGAUUAGAUGAGCCUAUGUCAGAUUAGCUAGUUGGUGGGGUAAAGGCCUACCAAGGCGACGAUCUGUAGCUGGUCUGAGAGGAUGAUCAGCCACACUGGGACUGAGACACGGUCCAGACUCCUACGGGAGGCAGCAGUGGGGAAUUUUGGACAAUGGGGGCAAGCCUGAUCCAGCCAUUCCGCGUGAGUGAAGAAGGCCUUCGGGUUGUAAAGCUCUUUCGGUAGGAACGAAACGGUGGAAUUUAACAUAGUCCUCUAAUGACGUUACCUGAAGAAGAAGCACCGGCUAACUACGUG
This 484-nucleotide ribosomal RNA is filed under the name uncultured bacterium. RNAcentral describes it as "partial 16S ribosomal RNA". It matches the Rfam family "Bacterial small subunit ribosomal RNA", at positions 30 to 507 of the family's 1533-position model. The record is from RNAcentral.